GCGCAUCCUUAGUAAACCCCCUAGUUGCUCCAUCGUAGCCUCUGGGACAAGGAAGGAUGCUAGAUCAAACUGAGAUCCAAAGCUGAGAGUCUUGUCCGUGUCUCUUGGUUAUUUCAGCUCUGGACAGUC
Salvelinus sp. IW2-2015 is the source of this 129-nucleotide small nucleolar RNA. RefSeq annotates it as small nucleolar RNA SNORA14. The transcript has a single exon. NCBI's taxonomy places the organism in Eukaryota, Metazoa, Chordata, Actinopteri, Salmoniformes, Salmonidae. The record is from RefSeq and is a predicted model, not a curated record.